AUGGUAAAGAGUGGUGGCUGUGGUAGUGGAUGUGGUAGUGGUAGUGGCGGUUGUGGCGGUGGAUGUGGAAGCAUGUUCAAGAGUGAUGGCAAAGCGCCUGGAGAUACAGUGGAGAGUGGCGGUUGUAGUGGGGGAUGUGGAAGUAUGGUAAAGAGUGGUGGCUGUGGGCUUCCCCCAUAGAUUCAUCCAUCUAUGCGAAUGAAGCAAUAGUCGCUUGAUCACUAUGAAUUUAUAAGUGUCUGCGAGGAGCAUUCUUAAUAAAGUUCAUUAAAAAAUGGAAACUCUUAAAUUCAAUAAAAAAAAAAAUCAUGAUCGUGAAGUGUCAUGAAGAAAUAAGGUUGUCUUCAUUAUUGCCAAGUACAGUGGUAUAUAUCUCUACAUAUGGU
RNAcentral lists this unclassified non-coding RNA (386 nucleotides) under Hevea brasiliensis (rubber tree). Lineage: Eukaryota; Viridiplantae; Streptophyta; Magnoliopsida; Malpighiales; Euphorbiaceae. The record is from RNAcentral.